UCAGUAGUCUUUUAAUUGAAGGCUUGUAUGAACGGUUGGAUGAGAGAAUAGCUGUCUCUUAAAUAACCUAGAAUUUGACUUUUAAGUGAAAAGGCUUAAAUUUAAUAGUGGGACGAUAAGACCCUGUAAAACUUUAUACGCAUAGUAUUUAGCCUUUAAAUUAUAUUAAAAUAUUGAUAUAUACUUUGGGUAUUUCGUUGGGGAGACGUUGAUAUAAUUUGUAACUGUCUAAUUAAAUAAAAUAAUUAUCAUUAUACUUUGAUCCUUCUUUGUGGGUUAUAAGAAUAAGUUACUUCAGGGAUAACAGCGUAAUUUUCUCAGAGAGUUCUUAUCGAAGAGAUUAGUUGCGACCUCGAUGUUGAAUUAAAAUUUCAGCUAGGUGUAGCCGCUUAGUUAGUGGGUCUGUUCGACCUUUAAAAUUUUAC
Molecule: ribosomal RNA, 425 nt
Filed under: Palaemon peringueyi
Lineage: Eukaryota; Metazoa; Arthropoda; Malacostraca; Decapoda; Palaemonidae
Description: partial 16S ribosomal RNA
Rfam family: Bacterial large subunit ribosomal RNA
Source: RNAcentral